CCUACGGGUGGCAGCAGUGAGGAAUCUUGGUCAAUGGACGAGAGUCUGACCCAGCCAAGUAGCGUGAAGGAUGACUGCCCUAUUGGUUGUCAACUUCUUUUAUAUGGGAAUAAAAUGUUCCACGUAUGGGAUUUUGUAUGUACCAUAUGAAUUAGGAUUGACUAACUCCGUUCAGGAAGCCGCGGUAAUACGGAGGAUCCGAGCGUUUACCGGAUUUUUUGGGUUUAAAGGGCGCGUAGGUGGAUUGUUAAGUCAGUUGUGAAAGUUUUCGGCUCAACCGGAAAAUUGCAGUUGAAACUGGCAGUCUUGAGUACAGUAGAGGUGGGCGGAAUUCGUGGUGUAGCGGUGAAAUGCUUAGAUAUCACGAAGAACUCCGAUUGCGAAGGCAGCUCACUGGACUGCAACUUACACUGAGGCUCGAAAGUGUGGGGAUCGAACAGGAUUAGAUACCCUUGUAGUC
This 460-nucleotide ribosomal RNA is filed under the name uncultured bacterium. RNAcentral's name for it is "partial 16S ribosomal RNA". It matches the Rfam family "Bacterial small subunit ribosomal RNA", at positions 338 to 795 of the family's 1533-position model. The record is from RNAcentral.